This is a non-coding RNA of Triticum aestivum (bread wheat), 135 nucleotides long. Lineage: Eukaryota; Viridiplantae; Streptophyta; Magnoliopsida; Poales; Poaceae. The record is from Rfam.
AUACUACUCCCUUCGUUUCAAAAUACUUAACUUUCAUUUAUUUAAAAAUGAAUGUAUCUAUAUAAAAAACAUGUCUAGAUACAUCUAUAUUUUAACAAAUGAAAGGCAGGUACCGUGGAACGAAGGGAGUAGCAU